This is a non-coding RNA of Equus caballus (horse), 2175 nucleotides long. The record is from RefSeq and is a predicted model, not a curated record. Lineage: Eukaryota; Metazoa; Chordata; Mammalia; Perissodactyla; Equidae.
UGUGCGCACGCGGAGCGCGCGGAAGCCGGGCGGGGAGGGAGGGGCGCCCGCCCGCCGGUCCCCUUCCCGGGACUGGCAGGCCCCGCCUUUCAUCUUUUCAUCGUUUGGAGCCCCUUCCCCGGAAAUCCCGAUGUCUGCUGCACACGGGUCUCUACCGGUUAGGGAUUAAGAGUGAGUCGGCAGGAGUCAAACAGAGUGAGAAGGCUUAAUUCACAGGCCCCUGGACACUGAACGUGAGAGGGUAGAAGAAAGGCUUUUUUCCUCCUCUGCUGACCUAAAGGAAAUAAUACGGAAUAUUGGAACAAGUGCUGAUCAAAGAGGUUAAAGGGAAGCAUCUCUGGAAUGCCUCCUGAGCCAGGCAUCACGACAGGUGGAGCUCCCAAGACACAGUCUCUGCCCAUCAGAGUUCAUCCUGCGUGGAAGACACACGCUGACAGGCAGAGGCCAGUUUCCAGCCAGCUGUGCGGGGGCUCAGGGGCCACGGCGUGGGGAGCCCUCCGGAGGCCGAGAGCUGAUGGGCGUCUGAUGUACCUGCUGGACACUGGCUUUUGGCUAUAAAAUUUGCAGAAAAAAAGACAGAGAAAGCUAGAGAAAUGCUAGUCUAUCACUACCAUCUGGAGCUCGAAGCAGGAAAAAAAGACUACGUCGAUAGAGGGGAAGGAGGGAGAAGAGGUGGAAGAGAGAAAGAGAGAGAAACACAGGCAGACAGACACCAACUUGAAUCAGAAAGCAAAUAGACCCGUGCUCCCCAGGGGCCUCACCAAAAGCAGAAAGAAGAUAUAUUAAUAGACAGAGCUGAGUUGAUGACAUCGACAAUGAAAACAGUAUUGCAAAGAGCCUGAAAGUAAUCUAGUUGCAGAGUCAUCUAUCAAAACAGCUCCCUGCUUGCAUGUACACGGAUGACGGCUGCAGCACUGCCCGAAAUGGCAUAAGCCCUGCCACUCCUCAGAAGUCCAUCACAGGAGGGAGGGAAAGAGGACAUGUGGAGAACGGUAACAUUUUGGACCCCGGUCCACAGACUACAUUUUGAGAAGUCUUCCCUAAUGUGCUUACUUUGAACUCUGACCCAGUGAAGUUGCCAAACAAAUCACUACCAGAAUUCUCUCAUCCUUGACAUUUGGGAGGGUCCACAUAAACAAUGCACAGGAACCAGCACAGGAAAAAGGAGCUUGGUGAUGUAAUCAAACGAAACGUUAACAAAUUAUUCUCUGCAGAUGGCGACACCGGCGCUUGAAGCUCAGCUUGUCACUUCCUAGCUGUGUGAGCCUGGGCAAGUUAGUUAAUAUCUCCAGGCCACCAUUUCCCCCUGUGAAAUGGGAAUACCACCCUCUUCAUAAGGCUCUUGUGAGGAUUAGAGUAAAUAAUUCCUUUCGAGAGUGCCUGCCCCACAGUGGCACCCAAUACAUAUCCUCAGCUUAGCUCACUCUCUAAUUCCUCUGUCAAAGGACUCCACCCCAGGUCCCUGAGGACCCCAGAGCAUCUUUCCUUCUUCUCAGUCUCUUUAUUUCCGUCGUGGGGUUGGGACACCACUCCUGGUACUUUCUCCUCCUCCUCCUCAGAGAAGAGUGGGCCCACCAGGAGCUUCCAGGCCCCCAGAGCUGUUCAGGAGGGAGGGCGCGGCCUAACUCUCCUGAGAAGAUUCAGUGAAAUCACUUCGUAAACUGGAAGGCGCAAUGCAAAUGUGAGCAAUCACUCACGGUUCAGCCACUAUUUAUUGGGUCCUUCCUCACGAGAUGCCCUCAGUGGGAGACAGAACUAAGGGAAAAAAAGAGGCCUCCACCAAGCUUGCCACCUGCUAGCAAGCCGUGCAUUUUGUGAGGCCCCCCGGUGUUUGAAGAGCAGAACCUGGCUCCCGUGUGUUCACCAGCAAAAGCAAGCAGGGAGGAAGAGAAAAGACAAUUUGUGAAGAAGCUUCUAGUAUAACUUGUGAGGCAGCCACAGGGCAGGCAGCUCAGGCUCUGGCAGGAACUAUUGGAAAGGAUCCCACCCAACCAAUUCCAGUAACUGUCCAGCUAGCUCUUGUCCUCCCAUCCAGACCUGGAGCGGCAGGACCACCACCUGGCAGUGGGCCUCGCCGACCUGGCUCGGGCGACCCAGUGUGGAGCCUCCUGUGGGCCUGUUCUAGGCUCAGGGAGCCAGGUGGAGGUGGCCGGGGCCCAGGGCUGGACACCCCCC